Molecule: transfer RNA, 76 nt
Filed under: Actinomycetes bacterium
Lineage: Bacteria; Bacillati; Actinomycetota; Actinomycetes
Also listed under: 7 other names
Description: tRNA-Ala
Rfam family: tRNA
About the family: Transfer RNA (tRNA) molecules are approximately 80 nucleotides in length.
Source: RNAcentral
GGGGCUGUAGCGCAGCUGGUAGCGCACCUCGUUCGCAACGAGGGGGUCAGGGGUUCGAGUCCCCUCAGCUCCACCA